AUGGUGCGAUCUAGAAUAUCUCCCAGCCGGCGUGCAUUCAUGGAGUCGGAUCGUCCGUGUUUAGACAUCAAGGACGUUGGUCGUAAUCGAGUGAAUUGCAGUGACGGCGGCGACAGGAUCAGCGCUCUACCCGACGACAUCCUCCUCAACAUACUCCAAUGUCUGGACCUGCGCACGGCGGUCAGGGCGGGCGCCAUGGCGAGGCGAUGGAGGCGCCUCCCGUGCAUGCUCCCCGAUCUUGACAUGGACGUCGCCACCAUGGUACCGCACCAUCGCUUGAACUUCUCCUUGGAUUGUGUCAUGGCCAGGUACACCAAUUCCGUAAAGUGGUUUCUGCUGCCCACUCAUCACCGGACGAGCCUGCGCUUCGCAUUCUACCUUGCAGAAGUAGACCCGUGCCUGCGCUCCAUCGGAGGCGCAAUCGCCGCCACCCCCGCCGACCGCCUCGAGCUCACCGUACGGACUGCAUACGACGUCGAGUUCGCCGAGUAUGGUCAACGCUUUGCAUCGUUCUUGGCGGCCUGCCCCACCGCCUUCGCGCGGCUCACUACCAUUACCUUGCAAGAUUUCGUCUUCACCACCGGCUCGGAGAUCGCCGCUCUUCUUGACGCCUGCCACAGCCUAGAGCUCCUCUCCUUGACCAAAUGCAGGUGCAGGGCCUCUGUUGCUUAG
This 672-nucleotide ribosomal RNA is filed under the name Triticum aestivum (bread wheat). RNAcentral describes it as "partial small subunit ribosomal RNA". The record is from RNAcentral. Lineage: Eukaryota; Viridiplantae; Streptophyta; Magnoliopsida; Poales; Poaceae.